UACGUAGGGGGCGAGCGUUGUCCGGAUUUAUUGGGCGUAAAGAGCGUGUAGGCGGUUCGGUAAGUCUGUCGUGAAAUCCUGAGGCUCAACCUCGGGCGUGCGAUGGAUACUGCCGGGCUAGAGGAUGGUAGAGGCGAGUGGAAUUCCCGGUGUAGCGGUGAAAUGCGCAGAUAUCGGGAGGAACACCAGCGGCGAAGGCGCUGCUCUGGGCCGGUACUGACGCUGAGGAGCGAAAGCGUGGGGAGCGAACAGG
This 253-nucleotide ribosomal RNA is filed under the name uncultured bacterium. RNAcentral's name for it is "partial 16S ribosomal RNA". It matches the Rfam family "Bacterial small subunit ribosomal RNA", at positions 524 to 776 of the family's 1533-position model. The record is from RNAcentral.